UUUGAAUAUAGUGAGUAUUUGGAACUAUUGGAGGAGGGUCAGAGUGGGAUAUAGCACAACAGUAAUUGUCAGAGGCUGACCAUGAAAUGCAUUAAAGUGUAUUCCUAUAUCUAGUUUAGCCUUUAAUUCUCCCCAGGCGAGAGAGAGAUGUCACUCAGGACUGCUUCCGAAGGAGUUUCUCUUGCAGCUUGCUUCACUGUCUAACUCCUUUCAUACAAGUGGGUAACAUGCCCUUCAUUCAGAACCAAACCUGUGCCCUGGCUUGGUAUAUUUCCUCCACCUGCUGAGCACCCUCUCACCCUCUAUUUUUACUUGGAAGAAAGAAGACAAUAAUAUCUACCAAUCAAGAUGCUGUACCUGAAGCAGAAGAUAACCUGGCAAAGAAAAGAGUAUAGUGCUG
Molecule: long non-coding RNA, 400 nt
Filed under: Pan troglodytes (chimpanzee)
Lineage: Eukaryota; Metazoa; Chordata; Mammalia; Primates; Hominidae
Description: long non-coding RNA NONPTRT002261
Source: RNAcentral